RNAcentral lists this ribosomal RNA (253 nucleotides) under uncultured bacterium. RNAcentral describes it as "partial 16S ribosomal RNA". It matches the Rfam family "Bacterial small subunit ribosomal RNA", at positions 524 to 776 of the family's 1533-position model. The record is from RNAcentral.
UACGUAGGGGGCAAGCGUUGUCCGGAUUUAUUGGGCGUAAAGAGCGUGUAGGCGGCCAGGUAGGUCGGCUGUGAAAACUCGGGGCUCAACUCCGAGCUUGCAUUCGAUACGGGCAGGCUAGAGUUCGGUAGGGGAGACUGGAAUUCCUGGUGUAGCGGUGAAAUGCGCAGAUAUCAGGAGGAACACCGGUGGCGAAGGCGGGUCUCUGGGCCGAUACUGACGCUGAGGAGCGAAAGCGUGGGGAGCGAACAGG